This 397-nucleotide ribosomal RNA is filed under the name uncultured bacterium. RNAcentral describes it as "partial 16S ribosomal RNA". It matches the Rfam family "Bacterial small subunit ribosomal RNA", at positions 523 to 918 of the family's 1533-position model. The record is from RNAcentral.
AUACGUAGGUGACAAGCGUUAUCCGGAUUUACUGGGCGUAAAGGGCGUGUAGGCGGUCUUGCAAGUCAGAAGUGAAAUUCCUGAGCUCAACUCGGGCGCUGCUUCUGAAACUGCAGGACUUGAGUGCUGGAGGGGAUAGCGGAAUUCCUAGUGGAGCGGUAAAAUGCGCAGAUAUUAGGAAGAACACCGGUGGCGAAGGCGGCUAUCUGGACAGUAACUGACGCUGAGGCGCGAAAGCGUGGGGAGCGAACAGGAUUAGAUACCCUGGUAGUCCACGCUGUAAACGAUGAAUGCUAGGUGUAGGGGGUAUCGACCCCUCCUGUGCCGGAGUAAACGCAAUAAGCAGUCCGCCUGGGGAGUACGGCCGCAAGGUUGAAACUCAAAGGAAUUGACGGGG